RNAcentral lists this ribosomal RNA (235 nucleotides) under uncultured bacterium. RNAcentral describes it as "partial 16S ribosomal RNA". It matches the Rfam family "Bacterial small subunit ribosomal RNA", at positions 96 to 334 of the family's 1533-position model. The record is from RNAcentral.
UGGCGGACGGGUGAGUAAUGUCUGGGAAACUGCCUGAUGGAGGGGGAUAACUACUGGAAACGGUAGCUAAUACCGCAUAACGUCGCAAGACCAAAGAGGGGGACCUUAGGGCCUCUUGCCAUCGGAUGUGCCCAGAUGGGAUUAGCUUGUUGGUGGGGUAACGGCUCACCAAGGCGACGAUCCCUAGCUGGUCUGAGAGGAUGACCAGCCACACUGGGACUGAGACACGGUCCAG